AUUUAAUGAAGACCUAAAAAAUGAUAAAUGCAGUUUUAAAAUAUUUGUUGUCAUCAUUAAGAAAACAUUAGGCAUGCUGGGCGCAGUGGCUCACGCCUGUAAUCCCAGCACUUUGGGAGGCCGAGGGGGGCGGAUCAUGAGAUCAGGAGAUCGAGACCAUCCUGGCUAACGUGGUGAAACCCCGUCUCUACUAAAAAUACAAAAAAUUAGCCGGGCAUGAUGGUGGGCAUCUGUAGUCCCAGCUACUCGGGAGGCUGAGGCAGGAGAAUGGCGUGAACCUGGAGGGGCGGAGGUUGCAGUGAACCGAGAUCGCGCCACUGCACUCUAGCCUGGGCGACAGA
RNAcentral lists this long non-coding RNA (341 nucleotides) under Homo sapiens (human). Its description in RNAcentral is "HSALNT0392888". The record is from RNAcentral. Lineage: Eukaryota; Metazoa; Chordata; Mammalia; Primates; Hominidae.